GGCGAACGCUGGCGGCGUGCUUAACACAUGCAAGUCGAACGGAAAGGCCCUGCUUUUGUGGGGUGCUCGAGUGGCGAACGGGUGAGUAACACGUGAGUAACCUGCCCUUGACUUUGGGAUAACUUCAGGAAACUGGGGCUAAUACCGGAUAGGAGCUCCUGCUGCAUGGUGGGGGUUGGAAAGUUUCGGCGGUUGGGGAUGGACUCGCGGCUUAUCAGCUUGUUGGUGGGGUAGUGGCUUACCAAGGCUUUGACGGGUAGCCGGCCUGAGAGGGUGACCGGCCACAUGGGGACUGAGAUACGGCCCAGACUCCUACGGGAGGCAGCAGUGGGGAAUAUUGCACAAUGGGCGGAAGCCUGAUGCAGCAACGCCGCGUGCGGGAUGACGGCCUUCGGGUUGUAAACCGCUUUCGCCUGUGACGAAGCGUGAGGGACGGUAAUGGGUAAAGAAGCACCGGCUAACUACGU
RNAcentral lists this ribosomal RNA (467 nucleotides) under uncultured bacterium. RNAcentral describes it as "partial 16S ribosomal RNA". It matches the Rfam family "Bacterial small subunit ribosomal RNA", at positions 28 to 506 of the family's 1533-position model. The record is from RNAcentral.